UAUUUUUUUCCUUUUUUGGUAUUUUAUUUAAUUUUUUCUCUUAAUUUAUUUUUCAUUUAUUUUUAUUUUUAUUUUAAAAAAUUUUUAUAAAGUUCAAAAUUUUUUAUUUUUAUUUUUUGAAUCUUUUUUAUUUUUUUAUUUUCUUAUUUUUUUUGCUAUUUUUUCUACUUUGUAAUUUUUUAAUAACUUUUUCCCUUCACAAUUUUCCUUCUUUUUGCUUUUUUUUUUUCAUAUGCUUUCAUUUUUACUUGUUUUUAUUUUUCGUUGUUUUAAAAAUUUUUAUUUUUUGUUUUUUAUUCCAAAUCUUUUGUCUUUUCAUUUUUAUUCUUUUCUUGCUUUUCUUUUUUUUUUUUCACAAAUUUCCUUUCAUUUCUUAUUUGCGUUUUUAAAUUCUCAUACUUUUUUUUUAUUUUGCAUUAACUUUUCUCUUUUUUAAUUUUUUGGCUGACUUUUUAUAUUGUUAGGUCUUAUAUGUUUUUCAAUUUUUUGUAUUUUUUAAACUAAUUUUUUUUUCAUUUUGUCAUUCCAUUUCAUUUUUGAAUUUUUUAUUCAAUUUUUGUCCUUUUUUAUUUUCUUACUUUUUUCUUUUUUUGUGCUUUAUUUAUCUUUUUUCUUUUGCUCUAAUUUUUUUCUUAUUUUAUUUUUUAUUUUCUUUCUUUAUUUAUAGUUUCAUAAAUUUUUAUAAAGUUUUGGAAUUUUUUAUUUUUCUAUCUUUUUUUCUUUUAUCAUUCUUGGUUAUUUUCUAUUGCAUUUUUAUAAUUUUUCAUUAACUUUUUCUCCUUUUAAAUUUUUCUCCUUUUUUUUUUAUGUGCUUUCAUUUUUUUUUGUUCACUUUUUUCUUUGUUUUAAAAUUUUCUAUAAAUUUUUUUCUUUUUGUUUUCUUUCAUAUUUUUGCCUCUUCAUUUUUUAUUUUUUUCUUCUUUUUCAUUUUUUUUCUCAAAUUUUAUUUUAUAUAUUUUGUAUUUUCGUUUUUUAUUUUUUCUUGCUUUUUCUUAAAUUUUUUUGUUCACACUUUUUUUUAUUUCUUCUUUAUAUUUUAUAUUUUUUAUUAACUUUAAUUUUAUUUUUCAUCUUUCAUAUUUUAUAUCUUUUUCCUCUAUUUGUUAUUUUUUUUCUUUGUACAUUCUAAACUAAAAGUUUUUUCCAUUUUAUAUUUGAAAUUUUUAUUCAUUUUGUCUUUUUAUAUUUUUUUGAUUCGCUAAUUUUUUAUUUUCUUACUUUGUUACUUUUUGCUUUUGUUUAUUUUAUUUUUCCUUUUUUGGUAUUUUAUUUAAUUUUUUCUCUUAAUUUAUUUUUCAUUUAUUUUAUUUUUAUUUUAAAAUUUUUUAUAAAGUUUAAAAUUUUUUAUUUUUAUUUUUUGAAUCUUUUUUAUUUUUUAUUUCUUAUUUUUUUGCUAUUUUUUCUACUUUGUAAUUUUUUAAUAACUUUUUCCCUUCACAAUUUUCCUUCUUUUUGCUUUUUUUUUUUUCAUAUGCUUUCAUUUUUACUUGUUUUUAUUUUUUCGUUGUUUUAAAAAUUUUUAUUUUUCUGUUUUUUAUUCCAAAUCUUUUGUCUUUUCUUGCUUUUCUUUUUUUUUUUCACAAAUUUCCUUUCAUUUCUUAUUUGCGUUUUUAAAUUCUCAUACCUUUUUUUAUUUUGCAUUCACUUUUCUCUUUUUUAAUUUUUUGUCUUACUUUUUAUAUUGUUAGGUCUUAUAUGUUUUUCAAUUUUUUGUAUUUUUUAAACUAAUUUUUUAUUCAAUUUUUGUCCUUUUUUAUUUUCUUACUUUUUUCUUUUUUUGUGCUUUAUUUAUCUUUUUUCUUUUUUUAUUUUCUUUCUUUAUUUAUAGUUUCAUAAAUUUUUAUAAAGUUUUGGAAUUUUUUUUCUAUCUUUUUUUCUUUUAUCAUUCUUGGUUAUUUUCUAUUGCAUUUUUAUAAUUUUUCAUUAACUUUUUCUCUUUUCAAAUUUUUCUUCUUUUUUUUAUGUGCUUUCAUUUUUUUUGUUCACUUUUUUCUUUGUUUUAAAAUUUUCUAUAAAUUUUUUUCUUUUUGUUUUCUUUCAUAUUUUUGCCUCUUCAUUUUUUAUUUUUUUUUCUCAAAUUUUAUUUUAUAUAUUUUGUAUUUUUGUUUUUUAUUUUUUUCUUGCUUUUUCUUAAAUCUUUUUGUUCACACUUUUUUUUAUUUCUUCUUUAUAAUUUUAUAUUUUUUAUUAACUUUUAUUUUAUUUUUCAUCUUUCAUAUUUUAUAUCUUUUUCCUCUAUUUGUUAUUUUUUUUCUUUGUACAUUCUAAACUAAAAGUUUUUUCCAUUUUAUAUUUGAAAUUUUUAUUCAUUUUGUCUUUUUAUAUUUUUUUGAUUCGCUAAUUUUUUAUUUUCUUACUUUGUUACUUUUUGUUUUUGUUUAUUUUUAUUUUUUCCUUUUUUGGUAUUUUAUUUAAUUUUUUCUCUUAAUUUAUUUUUCAUUUAUUUUAAAAAAUUUUUAUAAAGUUCAAAAUUUUUUAUUUUUAUUUUCUUAUUUUUUUUGCUAUUUUUUCUACUUUGUAAUUUUUUAAUAACUUUUUCCCUUCACAAUUUUCCUUCUUUUUGCUUUUUUUUUUCAUAUGCUUUCAUUUUUACUUGUUUUUAUUUUUUCGUUGUUUUAAAAAUUUUUAUUUUUCUAUUUUUUAUUCCAAAUCUUUUGUCUUUUCUUGCUUUUCUUUUUUUUUUUCACAAAUUUCCUUUCAUUUCUUAUUUGCAUUUUUAAAUUCUCAUACUUUUUUUAUUUUGCAUUCACUUUUCUCUUUUUUAAUUUUUUGUCUGACUUUUUAUAUUGUUAGGUCUUAUAUGUUUUUCAAUUUUUUUGUAUUUUUUAAACUAAUUUUUUUUUCAUUUUGUCAUUCCAUUUCAUUUUUGAAUUUUUUAUUCAAUUUUUGUCCUUUUUUAAUUUCUUACUUUUUUCUUUUUUUGUGCUUUUUUUAUUUUCUUUCUUUAUUUAUAGUUUCAUAAUUUUUUUAUAAAGUUUUGGAAUUUUUUAUUUUUCUAUCUUUUUUUCUUUUAUCAUUCUUGGUUAUUUUCUAUUGCAUUUUUAUAAUUUUUCAUUAACUUUUUCUCCUUUCAAAUUUUUCUUCUUUUUUUUAUGUCCU
Molecule: long non-coding RNA, 3099 nt
Filed under: Durio zibethinus
Lineage: Eukaryota; Viridiplantae; Streptophyta; Magnoliopsida; Malvales; Malvaceae
Description: long non-coding RNA (DZIB_LNC001294)
Source: RNAcentral